Molecule: long non-coding RNA, 856 nt
Filed under: Anolis carolinensis (green anole)
Lineage: Eukaryota; Metazoa; Chordata; Lepidosauria; Squamata; Anolidae
Description: lncRNA (ENSACAG00000041090.1)
Source: RNAcentral
UUAUAAAACUGAGGGCGGGGCCAGGUCAAUGGCCUUGGAGGGCCGCAUCCGGCCCCCGGACCUUAGUUUGGGGACCCCUGAUCUAGAUGGUCUCAUAGGACCAUAGAUAAGGAAAGGGAUCCUCAAAGACCAUCUAGAUGGUUUCAUAAGACCAUAGGGUUGUUGUAUGUUUUCCCGUCUGUCUGGCCAUGUUCCAGAAGUAUUCUCUCCUGACAUUUCGCCCACAUUUAUGGCAGGCAUCUUCAGAGGUUGUGCGGUAUUUUCAACUUAUUUUUCUGACUACUUCUUCAAAACACCAUCCCUUAACGUACUUCUUGACUCUUUAUUUACUGACUAGUAAGUUAUCAUGACCUUCCAGCUAGCUCCUUCCCUUCCUUAAUUGACUUCAACUCCCAUAGAAUGUUCAGUUUUUUUCUUCCAAUUGUCAUCCUUGACUCUCAUCUUUCACAUCUUGGCACCCGCUCAUUUGCAUAUGACCAAUCAGGUCACCCCUAUGCAAAAUAUUUUAUUGAUUUAUUUUAUUUACAGUAUUUAUAUUCCGCCCUUCUUUCUCACCCCGAAGGGGACUCAGGGCGGAUUAUAAAUACUGCAAAUAAAUAAAUAAUCCAGUUCAAAGCAGAUAAUAUAAGAUUAUAAAUGGGUAAUAUAGCUGUGUGGAAGGACCUUGAGUCUACACUGCCAUAUAAUCCAGUUCAAAUCAGAUAAUCUGUAUUUUAUAGGCAGUGUGGAUCAAGCCUAAGUGCACUCUGCCUUGGGUGCCAUUUUGGCUGAGGGAGUUGCUAGGAUAUGAAGGGGCGGGGCCUAAAAGCAGCGGGGGGGGGGGGGGGAGUAAAGGUAGCAGAGCCUACCUUUCUGA